This 889-nucleotide ribosomal RNA is filed under the name uncultured bacterium. Its description in RNAcentral is "bacterial SSU rRNA". It matches the Rfam family "Bacterial small subunit ribosomal RNA", at positions 8 to 890 of the family's 1533-position model. The record is from RNAcentral.
AGAGUUUGAUCCUGGCUCAGAUUGAACGCUGGCGGCGUGCCUAACACAUGCAAGUCGAGCGGUAACAGGUGUAGCAAUACAUGCUGACGAGCGGCGAACGGGUGAGUAAUGCUUCGGAAUCUACCCAAUGGCGGGGAAUAACUAGCCGAAAGGUUAGCUAAUACCGCAUAAGCCCUACGGGGGAAAGCAGGGGAUCGUAAGACCUUGCGCCGAUGGAUGAGCCGAAGCCGGAUUAGCUAGUUGGUAGGGUAACGGCCUACCAAGGCGACGAUCCGUAGCUGGUCUGAGAGGACGACCAGCCACACUGGGACUGAGACACGGCCCAGACUCCUACGGGAGGCAGCAGUGGGGAAUAUUGGACAAUGGGGGAAACCCUGAUCCAGCGACGCCGCGUGUGUGAAGAAGGCCUGCGGGUUGUAAAGCACUUUUAGUGGGGAUGAAAAGUUCAGGGCUAAUAUCCCUGGAUCUUGACCUAACCCAAAGAAAAAGCACCGGCUAACUCUGUGCCAGCAGCCGCGGUAAUACAGAGGGUGCAAGCGUUAAUCGGAAUUACUGGGCGUAAAGCGUGCGUAGACGGUUAUGUAAGUCAGGUGUGAAAGCCCCGGGCUCAACCUGGGAAUUGCAUUUGAGACUGCAUAGCUAGGGUACGGAAGAGGGAAGCGGAAUUUCAGGUGUAGCGGUGAAAUGCGUAGAUAUCUGAAGGAACACCAGUGGCGAAAGCGGCUUCCUGGUCCAGUACCGACGUUCAGGCACGAAAGCGUGGGGAGCAAACAGGAUUAGAUACCCUGGUAGUCCACGCCAUAAACGAUGAGAACUAGACGUUGAGAGGGUAAGCCUCCCAGUGUCGUAGCUAACGCGCUAAGUUCUCCGCCUGGGGAGUACGGCCGCA